RNAcentral lists this ribosomal RNA (371 nucleotides) under uncultured Sphingobacteriales bacterium. Its description in RNAcentral is "bacterial SSU rRNA". It matches the Rfam family "Bacterial small subunit ribosomal RNA", at positions 1013 to 1382 of the family's 1533-position model. Lineage: Bacteria; Pseudomonadati; Bacteroidota; Sphingobacteriia; Sphingobacteriales. The record is from RNAcentral.
ACUUCGUUCGACAAUAUACGAAGGUGCUGCAGUGGUUGUCGUCAGCUCGUGCCGUGAGGUGUCGGGUUAACGUCCCAUAACGAGCGCAACCCCUUACCUUUAGUUGCCAUCAGGUAAUGCUGGGGACUCUAAAGGAACUGCCUACGCAAGUAGUGAGGAAGGCGGGGAUGACGUCAAAUCAGCACGGCCCUUACGUCCAGGGCUACACACGUGCUACAAUGGCCGAUACAGAGGGCAGCUACCUGGUGACAGGAUGCAAAUCUCCAAAGUCGGUCUCAGUUCGGAUCGGAGUCUGCAACCCGACUCCGUGAAGUUGGAUUCGCUAGUAAUCGCGCAUCAGCCAUGGCGCGGUGAAUACGUUCCCGGGCCUU